UAUGAUAAUCAAAGAUGAUUGAACAAGGAUUACAUUAAGCUUACAGGGAGCUAAUUGAUCAAGGGGGGAGUGUUGUGAAAUAUUUUACGUUAGUGAUCAAUUAGGUAGAUAAUUGCGACCCUUUCAUGAAGGAGCCGACCUUUGAAAGGGCCAAUCCUUCAGGACAUUUGGCCCUUUAAGCAUGUCCUUUCACCAUGUAUAAAUAUAUAACCACGCCGUUCAUUCAAUCAAUAAAGAGAAUUAUCGCUAUUUUAAACACUGCCUUCUGGGCGUUUGAGUAGCCAUUUGCGAUUCAGGAGGUCUGAAAUGAACAUACACGCAUUGUCAUUUUAGUAUAGCAUGUCGAUCAGUACACAUGGCAUAAU
RNAcentral lists this long non-coding RNA (365 nucleotides) under Setaria viridis. RNAcentral describes it as "long non-coding RNA (SVIR_LNC010500)". The record is from RNAcentral. Lineage: Eukaryota; Viridiplantae; Streptophyta; Magnoliopsida; Poales; Poaceae.